This 661-nucleotide ribosomal RNA is filed under the name uncultured soil bacterium. RNAcentral's name for it is "bacterial SSU rRNA". It matches the Rfam family "Bacterial small subunit ribosomal RNA", at positions 55 to 750 of the family's 1533-position model. The record is from RNAcentral.
AUGCAAGUCGAACGAGAAAGCCCGCAAGGGUGAGUAAAGUGGCGUACGGGUGAGUAACACGUGGGUAAUCUACCUUUAGGUGUGGAAUAACCCUGGGAAACCGGGGCUAAUACCGCAUAUUCUCGCGAGAGGAAAGGCGAAAGUCGCCUGAAGAGGAGCCCGCGGCUGAUUAGCUAGUUGGUGAGGUAAUGGCUCACCAAGGCAAUGAUCGGUAGCCGGCCUGAGAGGGCACACGGCCACACUGGCACUGAAACACGGGCCAGACUCCUACGGGAGGCAGCAGUGGGGAAUCUUGCACAAUGGGGGAAACCCUGAUGCAGCGACGCCGCGUGAGCGAUGAAGCCCUUCGGGGUGUAAAGCUCUUUCGGCAGGAACGAUAAUGACGGUACCUGAAGAAGAAGCUGCGGCUAACUACGUGCCAGCAGCCGCGGUAAUACGUAGGCAGCAAGCGUUGUUCGGAGUUACUGGGCGUAAAGAGUGCGUAGGCGGUGCUCUAAGUUUGGUGUGAAAUCUCCCGGCUCAACUGGGAGGGUGCGCCGAAAACUGGAGUGCUUGAGUAUGGGAGAGGCAAGCGGAAUUCCUGGUGUAGCGGUGAAAUGCGUAGAUAUCAGGAGGAACACCUGUGGUGUAGACAGCUUGCUGGACCAUCACUGACGCUGAG